RNAcentral lists this ribosomal RNA (2905 nucleotides) under Escherichia coli. Its description in RNAcentral is "23S ribosomal RNA". It matches the Rfam family "Bacterial large subunit ribosomal RNA". Lineage: Bacteria; Pseudomonadati; Pseudomonadota; Gammaproteobacteria; Enterobacterales; Enterobacteriaceae. The record is from RNAcentral.
GGUUAAGCGACUAAGCGUACACGGUGGAUGCCCUGGCAGUCAGAGGCGAUGAAGGACGUGCUAAUCUGCGAUAAGCGUCGGUAAGGUGAUAUGAACCGUUAUAACCGGCGAUUUCCGAAUGGGGAAACCCAGUGUGAUUCGUCACACUAUCAUUAACUGAAUCCAUAGGUUAAUGAGGCGAACCGGGGGAACUGAAACAUCUAAGUACCCCGAGGAAAAGAAAUCAACCGAGAUUCCCCCAGUAGCGGCGAGCGAACGGGGAGGAGCCCAGAGCCUGAAUCAGUGUGUGUGUUAGUGGAAGCGUCUGGAAAGGCGCGCGAUACAGGGUGACAGCCCCGUACACAAAAAUGCACAUGCUGUGAGCUCGAUGAGUAGGGCGGGACACGUGGUAUCCUGUCUGAAUAUGGGGGGACCAUCCUCCAAGGCUAAAUACUCCUGACUGACCGAUAGUGAACCAGUACCGUGAGGGAAAGGCGAAAAGAACCCCGGCGAGGGGAGUGAAAAAGAACCUGAAACCGUGUACGUACAAGCAGUGGGAGCCUCUUUAUGGGGUGACUGCGUACCUUUUGUAUAAUGGGUCAGCGACUUAUAUUCUGUAGCAAGGUUAACCGAAUAGGGGAGCCGAAGGGAAACCGAGUCUUAACUGGGCGUUAAGUUGCAGGGUAUAGACCCGAAACCCGGUGAUCUAGCCAUGGGCAGGUUGAAGGUUGGGUAACACUAACUGGAGGACCGAACCGACUAAUGUUGAAAAAUUAGCGGAUGACUUGUGGCUGGGGGUGAAAGGCCAAUCAAACCGGGAGAUAGCUGGUUCUCCCCGAAAGCUAUUUAGGUAGCGCCUCGUGAAUUCAUCUCCGGGGGUAGAGCACUGUUUCGGCAAGGGGGUCAUCCCGACUUACCAACCCGAUGCAAACUGCGAAUACCGGAGAAUGUUAUCACGGGAGACACACGGCGGGUGCUAACGUCCGUCGUGAAGAGGGAAACAACCCAGACCGCCAGCUAAGGUCCCAAAGUCAUGGUUAAGUGGGAAACGAUGUGGGAAGGCCCAGACAGCCAGGAUGUUGGCUUAGAAGCAGCCAUCAUUUAAAGAAAGCGUAAUAGCUCACUGGUCGAGUCGGCCUGCGCGGAAGAUGUAACGGGGCUAAACCAUGCACCGAAGCUGCGGCAGCGACGCUUAUGCGUUGUUGGGUAGGGGAGCGUUCUGUAAGCCUGCGAAGGUGUACUGUGAGGUAUGCUGGAGGUAUCAGAAGUGCGAAUGCUGACAUAAGUAACGAUAAAGCGGGUGAAAAGCCCGCUCGCCGGAAGACCAAGGGUUCCUGUCCAACGUUAAUCGGGGCAGGGUGAGUCGACCCCUAAGGCGAGGCCGAAAGGCGUAGUCGAUGGGAAACAGGUUAAUAUUCCUGUACUUGGUGUUACUGCGAAGGGGGGACGGAGAAGGCUAUGUUGGCCGGGCGACGGUUGUCCCGGUUUAAGCGUGUAGGCUGGUUUUCCAGGCAAAUCCGGAAAAUCAAGGCUGAGGCGUGAUGACGAGGCACUACGGUGCUGAAGCAACAAAUGCCCUGCUUCCAGGAAAAGCCUCUAAGCAUCAGGUAACAUCAAAUCGUACCCCAAACCGACACAGGUGGUCAGGUAGAGAAUACCAAGGCGCUUGAGAGAACUCGGGUGAAGGAACUAGGCAAAAUGGUGCCGUAACUUCGGGAGAAGGCACGCUGAUAUGUAGGUGAAGUCCCUUGCGGAUGGAGCUGAAAUCAGUCGAAGAUACCAGCUGGCUGCAACUGUUUAUUAAAAACACAGCACUGUGCAAACACGAAAGUGGACGUAUACGGUGUGACGCCUGCCCGGUGCCGGAAGGUUAAUUGAUGGGGUUAGCGGUAACGCGAAGCUCUUGAUCGAAGCCCCGGUAAACGGCGGCCGUAACUAUAACGGUCCUAAGGUAGCGAAAUUCCUUGUCGGGUAAGUUCCGACCUGCACGAAUGGCGUAAUGAUGGCCAGGCUGUCUCCACCCGAGACUCAGUGAAAUUGAACUCGCUGUGAAGAUGCAGUGUACCCGCGGCAAGACGGAAAGACCCCGUGAACCUUUACUAUAGCUUGACACUGAACAUUGAGCCUUGAUGUGUAGGAUAGGUGGGAGGCUUUGAAGUGUGGACGCCAGUCUGCAUGGAGCCGACCUUGAAAUACCACCCUUUAAUGUUUGAUGUUCUAACGUUGGCCCCUAAUCGGGGUUGCGGACAGUGUCUGGUGGGUAGUUUGACUGGGGCGGUCUCCUCCUAAAGAGUAACGGAGGAGCACGAAGGUUGGCUAAUCCUGGUCGGACAUCAGGAGGUUAGUGCAAUGGCAUAAGCCAGCUUGACUGCGAGCGUGACGGCGCGAGCAGGUGCGAAAGCAGGUCAUAGUGAUCCGGUGGUUCUGAAUGGAAGGGCCAUCGCUCAACGGAUAAAAGGUACUCCGGGGAUAACAGGCUGAUACCGCCCAAGAGUUCAUAUCGACGGCGGUGUUUGGCACCUCGAUGUCGGCUCAUCACAUCCUGGGGCUGAAGUAGGUCCCAAGGGUAUGGCUGUUCGCCAUUUAAAGUGGUACGCGAGCUGGGUUUAGAACGUCGUGAGACAGUUCGGUCCCUAUCUGCCGUGGGCGCUGGAGAACUGAGGGGGGCUGCUCCUAGUACGAGAGGACCGGAGUGGACGCAUCACUGGUGUUCGGGUUGUCAUGCCAAUGGCACUGCCCGGUAGCUAAAUGCGGAAGAGAUAAGUGCUGAAAGCAUCUAAGCACGAAACUUGCCCCGAGAUGAGUUCUCCCUGACUCCCUGAGAGUCCUGAAGGAACGUUGAAGACGACGACGUUGAUAGGCCGGGUGUGUAAGCGCAGCGAUGCGUUGAGCUAACCGGUACUAAUGAACCGUGAGGCUUAACCUU